UUUAGGAUGUAAAAGAAAUAAAAAGACUAGAGAACUACGAGCUGUAAGAGCUUAAAACUCAAAAGGCUUGGCGGUGCUGUAUUAUAGUUUAGGGGAGCUUGCCUCAUAAGCGAUGAUCCACGAGAGACCUGACCUUUUCUAGUAUAUGUCUGUAUACCGUCGUCGUCAGUCAACUUUUUAGAAGACAGAAGUAGGCAAGCAGAUUCUUAACCGAAGAAGCAUAAUCAUAUAUUUUUAAGAUAUAUAUCUAUAUAUAUAUAUAUAUAUAUAUAUAUAUAUCUUUGUAAUAUAUGGUCUUAGCAUGGAUGUCAGAUCGUGGUGCAGCUAAUGAAAGGGGGUAAGGUGAGCUACAAUAAGAGAUAUAUUAUACGGAAGAUACACCUGCAAAGGGUAGAUGAAGGUGGACUUAAAAGUAAAAACAAGAAAUAAAAAUUGGUUGAAUAAGUGAAUCAGUGCGUACAUAUCGCCCGUCGCUCUCGUUAGAAAAUGAGAUAAGUCGUAACAAAGUAGGGGUACUGGAAAGUGUUCCU
RNAcentral lists this ribosomal RNA (530 nucleotides) under Cupolaconcha guana. RNAcentral's name for it is "partial 12S ribosomal RNA". Lineage: Eukaryota; Metazoa; Mollusca; Gastropoda; Littorinimorpha; Vermetidae. The record is from RNAcentral.